AGUGAACGCUGGCGGUAGGCCUAACACAUGCAAGUCGAACGGCAGCACAGUAAGAGCUUGCUCUUACGGGUGGCGAGUGGCGGACGGGUGAGGAAUACAUCGGAAUCUACUUUUUCGUGGGGGAUAACGUAGGGAAACUUACGCUAAUACCGCAUACGAACUACGGGUGAAAGCAGGGGAUCUUCGGACCUUGCGCGAUUGAAUGAGCCGAUGUCGGAUUAGCUAGUUGGCGGGGUAAAGGCCCACCAAGGCGACGAUCCGUAGCUGGUCUGAGAGGAUGGUCAGCCACACUGGAACUGAGACACGGUCCAGACUCCUACGGGAGGCAGCAGUGGGGAAGAUUGGACAAUGGGCGCAAGCCUGAUCCAGCCAUACCGCGUGGGUGAAGAAGGCCUUCGGGUUGUAAAGCCCUUUUGUUGGGAAAGAAAAGCAGCAGGUUAAUACCCCGCUGUUCUGACGGUACCCAAAGAAUAAGCACCGGCUAACUUCGUG
RNAcentral lists this ribosomal RNA (492 nucleotides) under uncultured bacterium. Its description in RNAcentral is "partial 16S ribosomal RNA". It matches the Rfam family "Bacterial small subunit ribosomal RNA", at positions 29 to 507 of the family's 1533-position model. The record is from RNAcentral.